UUCAAGUAAUCCAGGAUAGACU
RNAcentral lists this microRNA (22 nucleotides) under Mus musculus (house mouse). Its description in RNAcentral is "piRNA piR-mmu-10866952". Lineage: Eukaryota; Metazoa; Chordata; Mammalia; Rodentia; Muridae. RNAcentral also lists the same sequence under 1 other name. The record is from RNAcentral.